UGUCAGUGACUUACGCUUGCUCAUCCACAGCCACGCUGGGGAGUGGGUUGGCUGUUGCUGCGUGGGUAAGGAUCCAUCAGAGACAGCGUCCCCAGCCUGCUGCUGGCGGUGAGCUCUGCCUUUGGGCCCGCUGUGAGCAGCCGCCUGGCAUGUAAGGUGUGUCAGAAUGGUGCGCGGUGAAUGGGAACUUUGGGAAGUGGUUAGUUAACGAAUUAAAUAAUUGCACCUUGCCCUUCUCCCUUCAUGUAAGCGUAACGAAUGCACAGUUCAGGUAAUAAGCAGAAACCAAGA
RNAcentral lists this long non-coding RNA (291 nucleotides) under Anser brachyrhynchus (Pink-footed goose). RNAcentral's name for it is "lncRNA (ENSABRG00000012059.1)". Lineage: Eukaryota; Metazoa; Chordata; Aves; Anseriformes; Anatidae. The record is from RNAcentral.